UACGGGAGGCAGCAGGAGGGAAUAUUGCGCAAUGGGGGAAACCCUGACGCAGCGACGCCGCGUGGGUGAUGAAGGCCUUCGGGUCGUAAAGCCCUGUCGUAGGGGAAGAACUGGCGGGCGGCUAAUACCUGCUCGCCUUGACGGUACCCUACAAGAAAGCACCGGCUAACUCCGUGCCAGCAGCCGCGGUAAUACGGAGGGUGCGAGCGUUGUUCGGAAUUACUGGGCGUAAAGGGCGUGUAGGCGUCCUGAUAAGUCAGAUGUGGAAGCCUUGGGCUUAACCCAAGAAUUGCAUUUGAAACUGUCAGGAUUGAGUCGUGCAUGGGAGGGCGGAAUUCCUGGUGUAGCGGUGAAAUGCGUAGAUAUCAGGAGGAAGGCCUGUGGUGAAGAUGGCCCUCUGGGCAAUGACUGACGCUGAGGCGCGAAAGCGUGGGUAGCAAACAGGAUUAGAUACCCUGGUAGUCCACGCCCUAAACGGUGGGUACUAGGUGUGGGUGGCGAUAGUCAUCUGUGCCGAAGGGAAACCAUUAAGUACCCCGCCUGGGGAGUACGGCCGCAAGGUUGAAACUCAAAGGAAUUGACGG
RNAcentral lists this ribosomal RNA (584 nucleotides) under uncultured bacterium. RNAcentral describes it as "bacterial SSU rRNA". It matches the Rfam family "Bacterial small subunit ribosomal RNA", at positions 340 to 916 of the family's 1533-position model. The record is from RNAcentral.